AAGAAAGGUGCUAAGAAGCAAAGAUUGUUGUGGGCAUCAACCGGUGUUAAGAAUCCUGCGUAUUCUGACACUCUGUAUGUGGAUCCUCUCAUUGGACCUGACACGGUCUCCACCAUGCCUGAUCAAGCUCUGCAAGCCUUCAUUGACCAUGGCACCGUUUCAAGGACCAUAGACUCAAAUCUGUCAGAGGCUGAGGGUAUCUAUAGUGCGCUCGGGAAGUUGGGCAUUGACUGGAACAAGGUUGGGUCUCAGCUUGAAGUUGAAGGUGUCGACUCCUUCAGGAAGAGUUUCGACAGCUUGCUUGUUAGCCUGCAAAAAAAGUGCGAUUCCUUCAAGCUGGUCGGUCUGUAGGUGGAAGCUAGUGUUUCAGUUCCCAGCUAUCAGCUGUCUUAAAUAAAGCUGGGUUGGUUUUUUAACUUGUAAAUUGUUCCUUGUUGUAAGAUGUCGUCUGCUUUAUGUGUACUAGGCAGGCUGCGAAUAUAUGGUUUCUGAGGAUACUACAUAGCAAGCAAUAGCACCAAUUUAGAGCCAUGAAUUUUCAGAGGGGAUCUAAGCCAACGAAGAUCUCAAGGAAAUGAAUUGGUAGCCAGCAAUCCUUGAGACUUAAUAGAGAAAGUUUUCUACCAGUGUCACCAAGAAAACUUCCAUUUCCUUGCCCAUCUUAACUCUGCCUUCUCUCUUGCUGGAAGUUCUGACCACCCAUCAAUUGUGCACAGUUUUUUUUUUUUGGUGUUCAUUUUCUUUCUAUUGAUGUGCUUAAUGUAAUGUCUUUCAAUUGUAUUUUUCUUUUGAUUUUGAUCUAAAUGUCAUCUCCCAAUGGAGAUCUAGUUAUUCUAUUUUGAUUUAUCAGUGAACUCCUUUGCAUUUAACCUUAGUGUCGUAUGUUGUUCAUAUGAUUGAUUAGUAUGUAUUACUGAUGACAGCUGAUCUUCUCACUAUCAAGAUAUGAAGCAGUCAUUGAUGCUUAUUUGGAUGGCCUUGAGUCUUCUGGGCACGAUGACCUAUCUAGAAUUACCAGUGUAGCUUCUUUUUUUGUCAGCCGUGUGGACACCCUUAUAGAUAAGAUGCUUGAAGAAAUUGGGACACCUGAAGCUCUUGAUCUCCGAGGCAAGGUAAAAAUAUAAAAUGCCUUAUGACCUAUGUUCAUUUGGAAACAUGGAAAUGCUAGAAGUCUGAUCAUGGUUUUAUUUUAAAACUGCUUUAGGCUGCAGUGGCUCAAGCUGCUUUGGCAUAUAAGCUCUAUNNNNNNNNNNNNNNNNNNNNNNNNNNNNNNNNNNNNNCAAAGAAAGGUGCUAAGAAGCAAAGAUUGUUGUGGGCAUCAACCGGUGUUAAGAAUCCUGCAUAUCCUGACACUCUGUAUGUGGAUCCUCUCAUUGGACCUGACACGGUGAGCCUCAAUAUUUCUUACUCAUUCGAUUAUAAUUUCUUUUAGAAGUUUCAGAACAUGCAUAAUAGAAAAAGAGGCUGUUUUAUAUAUAGACUAGCUUUUUUCUUCUCUUAUUUUUUGUGUGUGUUUUAAUCUGCAUACUAGUAUGAUUCAGCAUAGCCAGAUUUACUUGUCACAUGAGUACUCAUAUAUAUUUUUUUUAUGGUGCACCUGAAUGCUAU
RNAcentral lists this long non-coding RNA (1608 nucleotides) under Phoenix dactylifera (date palm). RNAcentral describes it as "long non-coding RNA (PDAC_LNC007786)". Lineage: Eukaryota; Viridiplantae; Streptophyta; Magnoliopsida; Arecales; Arecaceae. The record is from RNAcentral.